RNAcentral lists this ribosomal RNA (253 nucleotides) under uncultured Lactobacillus sp. Its description in RNAcentral is "partial 16S ribosomal RNA". It matches the Rfam family "Bacterial small subunit ribosomal RNA", at positions 524 to 776 of the family's 1533-position model. The record is from RNAcentral. Lineage: Bacteria; Bacillati; Bacillota; Bacilli; Lactobacillales; Lactobacillaceae.
UACGUAGGUGGCAAGCGUUAUCCGGAAUUAUUGGGCGUAAAGGGCGCGCAGGUGGUUAAUUAAGUCUGAUGUGAAAGCCCACGGCUUAACCGAGGAAUUGCAUCGGAAACUGUGUUUCUUGAGUGCAGAAGAGGAGAGUGGAACUCCAUGUGUAGCGGUGGAAUGCGUAGAUAUAUGGAAGAACACCAGUGGCGAAGGCGGCUCUCUGGUCUGCAACUGACGCUGAGGCUCGAAAGCAUGGGUAGCGAACAGG